CCCGUUCCGAGAAGAACCUCUUACGGGAGUAUCUUAGUUGGAUUUCGGAAGGUCCUUAGCAAUCCGCCCCUUCGGGGAGCGGGUUGCUGGCCUCCUAUGUUCCUAACGGUCCUCGUCCGCGAGGGCGGGGAAUCAACCGCUAGGAUCGUUUACUUUGAGGAAAUUAGAGUGUUCAAAGCAGGCGUAACUCGCCUCCGAAUACGUUAGCAUGGGAUAAUGGAAUACGACUUCGGUCUUGUUUCAUUGGUUUCGCUUGACUGAAUUAAUGAUUGAUAGGGACAGUUGGGGGCAUUAGUAUUUAGUUGUCAGAGGUGAAAUUCUAGGAUUUACUAAAGACUGACCAAUGCGAAAGCAUUUGCCAAGGAUGUUUUCAUUAAUCAAGAACGAAAGUAGGGGGAUCGAAGACGAUCAGAUACCGUCGUAGUCUCUACCGUAAACUAUGCCGACCAGGGAUCCGGAGAGUUUGCAUGGAUGACUCCCCGGGCACCUUGUGAGAAAUCAUAAUUGUUUGGGUUUUGGGGGGAGUAUGGUCGCAAGGCUGAAACUUAAAGGAAUUGACGGAAGGGCACCACCAGGAGUGGAACCUGCGGCUUAAUUUGACUCAACACGGGGAAACUUACGAGGUCAGGACACUGUGAGGAUUGACAGAUUGAAAGCUCUUUCUUGAUUCAGUGGGUGGUGGUGCAUGGCCGUUCUUAGUUAGUGGAGUGAUUUGUCUGGUUAAUUCCGUUAACGAACGAGACCUUUACCUGAGU
RNAcentral lists this ribosomal RNA (755 nucleotides) under uncultured amoeba. RNAcentral describes it as "SSU rRNA". It matches the Rfam family "Eukaryotic small subunit ribosomal RNA", at positions 691 to 1353 of the family's 1831-position model. The record is from RNAcentral.